UUUUUUUCAAUAAAAAUAGAAUUUAUUUAAACAAGUUGGAAAGGGAGGAAAAUAUAUGGAAAAAUAUAAAGAUGUAUAUACUGUAUGAACGCAGUGGUAUAAAUAUGAACGAUACAGUAAGGUGGAACUGAGGAAACAAACAGAGAUGGAAAACACUGCAUUUGAAGAAUAGGGACUUGGAACAGAAAAGUCUGCUUCAUUAAGUCUGUGGUUACUUUGUUCUCUGGAUCAAAGUCUCUUGUAAUACCGACUCACUGCUGUGAACCGUAUUUGUACACGGAAAGUUACAAUUACUGUGAAACAUGAAGAAGCAGCAUGACUCUCUACACACCCUAAAUGCCCCGUGAAGAUUGAAAAUCCCAGUGAUCAUGAACCAUUCUGCUCUCUGGACCUCUCUGAUCCAUCCUAAGGUCCGGUUUCUGGUUGUUUCAUCACCUCUCACUGCUGAUGAGGAUGUUCCACAUGGACAGCCUGGAGAUACAGGAGAUUACUGUGGAAGGUGUCACAUAGAAAUCAUUUGAAUUGAGGAAUACAGACAGUUUCUGUCCAACAAAAAUAGACAUGUUUAACCUACUAUCAAUUUCUUGGUUACAAAACCGUGGUAUAAUGUAAAAUUUAAAAAAUAUUGCACGUUAUCAAAGGGAAAAUGAUUUAUGAUCACUCUCCGGUGUCACCAAGUGUGAGCAGCAAUUGUCUUCCCCUUGAAUUCUGCGUUCGGGUCUGAGCUUUCAGUAUCUCAAGAUUCCUCUUGGCCCGGUGUAUUAGCAGGAGCUCAUCACAGCAUCACACCAAAGCACAAACACUUUCCUUCCUCUCUAGUAAAUUUAUACAGCAUAGACUUGUUGAGUGCCUACUCAAAAUUUCAUGUACACCCCAGAAACCUUUUGAAAAGCCACUUCAGGCAGUACAUCUUCAUUCCUUUCUAAGUUUAUAGUAGUUUGGAGCCUUUGAGCAGCCACAGUAACUAUCAAAGGGGCAGUAGAGAUGCUUCUGCUAUUGCAGCCUUUAAUCUGGAACCUCCUGUCGGACAUUAGGACCUCCGUGGGAUCUGCAAAAUAUCUCAAAUAAUUUUUUCUUUAGAAAAAAAACUAAACAAAAUUCAAUGCAGUAUCAUCUUGGUGAAAAAUUGAUUUUUUAGUAUGACAUAAAUGGCUCACACUGAGACAGGUAAUAACACACUGUGUGUUCUCUAAGCACAGAUAUAUUUGUGGUGGACUGGGAAAACCUGUCGGAUGUUCUUGUGACUCAAUAUGGGUGAGAAAAAUCAAGUCAUGUCUAGGGUUAAAGAACCAUAUGUAACCAGUCUGAUGCCAGUCAGCUUACAGUACAUGUCUUUGGACUGGUUGAGGAACCCACAGGAAACCUUGAAGCACAGGGAGAACACACACAGUAAACUCUACACACAGUUGUUUGGGAAUAAAACCCCCAACUCCAAGGGCUUGACAUUUACAUUCAUGGCCUUUGGAAGCCCUUACAUUUAUCUCGUUUCUACAGCUGAGCAAUUGAGGGUUACGGCUUAGAGACCCAGGAAUGGCAGAUUGGUGGCCUUGGGAUUUAAACUCAGAACCUUUCAUUCAGUAGUCCUCUGAGUUACCACUUCCGCAUGAGGCAGAUGUGAUUAUACUAACCACUAAAAUCUGAACAAGUGAAGGCUUCCUAGGCUGUAAUACAUUUUCAAGAGAAACUGUUUUGUUGAUCAGCACCUGGGACCUCGUGCACAUUAAACUUUAUCUAAGUUUAGCUAAGUUUAUUUAAAGGGUCUAAUACAUUUACAUAUACAUUUACAUUGUAAAUAUGGAUUAAAGUACUAUUUUUGUUUUUUGAUUUAGUGUAGGAGGGCAAGGUGGCUUAGUGGUUUUUACAUCUUUUCACCUCAUGCGAUUCCCGCCUCCGCCUUGUGUGUGUGGAGUUUGCAUGUUCUCCCCGUGCCUCGGGGGUUUCCUCCGGGUACUCAGGUUUCCUCCCCCGGUCCAAAGACAUGCAUGGUAGGUUG
Tachysurus fulvidraco (yellow catfish) is the source of this 1993-nucleotide long non-coding RNA. RefSeq lists it as uncharacterized. The transcript is spliced from 3 exons. NCBI's taxonomy places the organism in Eukaryota, Metazoa, Chordata, Actinopteri, Siluriformes, Bagridae. The record is from RefSeq and is a predicted model, not a curated record.